UACCAGUCGCGGACGGGUGGAGUAAUACAUAGGCAACUGCCUUUAUGAGGGGAUAACCGAGGGAAACUUUGGCUAAUACCGCAUGAAGACUCUAAGGCGAUCUUAGAGGGAUAAAAGUUGGGAAACAACGCAUGAAGAUGGGCUUAUGGCGCAUUAGCUAGUUGGUGAGAUAGAAGCCCACCAAGGUAAUGAUGCGUAGCCGACCUGAGAGGGUGAACGGCCACAUUGGGACUGAGACACGGCCCAAACUCCUACGGGAGGCAGGCAGUAGGGAAUUUUCGGCAAUGGGGGGAACCCUGACCGAGCAACGCCCGCGUGAAGGAAGAAGGUUUUCGGAUUGUAAACCUCUGUUAUUAAGGGAAGAACGGAUUGGAUAGGGAAUGAUCUGAUAGUGACGGUACCUUAUUAGAAAGCCACGGCUAACUACGUGCCAGCCGCCGC
This 441-nucleotide ribosomal RNA is filed under the name uncultured bacterium. RNAcentral's name for it is "bacterial SSU rRNA". It matches the Rfam family "Bacterial small subunit ribosomal RNA", at positions 90 to 518 of the family's 1533-position model. The record is from RNAcentral.